AACGCACAUUGCACCCGCCAGCACUCUGGCGGGUAUGCCUGUUCGAGCGUCAUCUCAAACCUCAGGCAACAGCCUGCUGUUGGGGCGUCCCGGCUGCGGGAGCCCCGAAUCCCAGUGGCGGAGCCGUCGCGGACUCUGAGCGUAGUACUGACGUCGCCCACGAGUCCAGGCGGUGCCUGCCGUAAAACCCAGCUACGGCUUCAAGGUUUGACCUCGGAUCAGGUAGGGAUACCCGCUGAACUUAA
Molecule: unclassified non-coding RNA, 245 nt
Filed under: uncultured fungus
Lineage: Eukaryota; Fungi
Description: partial contains 5.8S ribosomal RNA, internal transcribed spacer 2, and large subunit ribosomal RNA
Source: RNAcentral